RNAcentral lists this ribosomal RNA (392 nucleotides) under uncultured bacterium. Its description in RNAcentral is "bacterial SSU rRNA". It matches the Rfam family "Bacterial small subunit ribosomal RNA", at positions 30 to 426 of the family's 1533-position model. The record is from RNAcentral.
AUUGAACGCUGGCGGCAUGCCUUACACAUGCAAGUCGAACGGCAGCGGACCUUCGGGUGCCGGCGAGUGGCGAACGGGUGAGUAAUAUAUCGGAACGUACCUUUCAGUGGGGGAUAACGUAGCGAAAGUUACGCUAAUACCGCAUAUUCUGUGAGCAGGAAAGCAGGGGAUCGCAAGACCUUGCGCUGAUUGAGCGGCCGAUAUCAGAUUAGCUAGUUGGUGAGGUAAAGGCUCACCAAGGCGACGAUCUGUAGCGGGUCUGAGAGGAUGAUCCGCCACACUGGAACUGAGACACGGUCCAGACUCCUACGGGAGGCAGCAGUGGGGAAUUUUGGACAAUGGACGCAAGUCUGAUCCAGCAAUGCCGCGUGCAGGACGAAGGCCUCGGUUGU